This is a small nucleolar RNA of Mastomys coucha (southern multimammate mouse), 130 nucleotides long. RefSeq annotates it as small nucleolar RNA SNORA17. The transcript has a single exon. Lineage: Eukaryota; Metazoa; Chordata; Mammalia; Rodentia; Muridae. The record is from RefSeq and is a predicted model, not a curated record.
ACUGCCCCUAGAGGCAUUGCAGGCAUGGCUAUGGUGUUCUAUGUAUGCUACUAGGUGGCAGAGAAGAGAGUCUAUGUCUAUGCUCAAUGUUCUGAACUAUGAACAUCUGAAUAAUUAGAAGCCUAACAUU